RNAcentral lists this unclassified non-coding RNA (238 nucleotides) under uncultured fungus. RNAcentral describes it as "partial contains 5.8S ribosomal RNA, internal transcribed spacer 2, and large subunit ribosomal RNA". The stretch from base 1 to 52 matches the Rfam family "5.8S ribosomal RNA", at positions 103 to 154 of the family's 154-position model. Lineage: Eukaryota; Fungi. The record is from RNAcentral.
AACGCACAUUGCGCCCUCUGGUAUUCCGGGGGGCAUGCCUGUUCGAGCGUCAUUACAACCCUCAAGCUCUGCUUGGUAUUGGGUGUCACCGCUCAGGUGCACCUUAAAAUCAGUGGCGGUGCCACCUGGCUUCUAGCGUAGUAAUACUUUUCGUUAUGGAGUUUAGGUGUAUUCUUGCCAUCAACCCCUAAUUCUACAGGUUGACCUCGGAUCAGGUAGGGAUACCCGCUGAACUUAA